CCUUGUACACACCGCCCGUCACGGCAUGGGAGUUGGUUUUACCCGAAGACGGUGCGCUAACCGCAAGGAGGCAGCCGGCCACGGUAGGAUCAGCAACUGGGCCG
RNAcentral lists this ribosomal RNA (104 nucleotides) under uncultured bacterium. Its description in RNAcentral is "partial 16S ribosomal RNA". It matches the Rfam family "Bacterial small subunit ribosomal RNA", at positions 1379 to 1482 of the family's 1533-position model. The record is from RNAcentral.